Amblyraja radiata (thorny skate) is the source of this 107-nucleotide long non-coding RNA. RefSeq lists it as uncharacterized. NCBI's taxonomy places the organism in Eukaryota, Metazoa, Chordata, Chondrichthyes, Rajiformes, Rajidae. The record is from RefSeq and is a predicted model, not a curated record. The transcript is spliced from 3 exons.
GAUAUGGUGCCCAGAAUUGCUCUCAAUAUUCCAAAUGUGGGCAUACUAGCACAUUAUAGAGCCUCAGCAUUACAUACCUGUUUUUGUAUAUAAACCCUCUUAAACAC